Molecule: long non-coding RNA, 2541 nt
Filed under: Triticum aestivum (bread wheat)
Lineage: Eukaryota; Viridiplantae; Streptophyta; Magnoliopsida; Poales; Poaceae
Description: long non-coding RNA (TAES_LNC021419)
Source: RNAcentral
CUUGUGGCCAGACAUGUGGUACGUACCUGCACCCGCGCGCUCCCUUUCUUCAAUUGUCACAAUGACCGGCGCUGAUCGCCUGCUGUCCUACGCGCGAAAAACACCAAAUGCUACUUAGGAGUACAUACCAGGGUACGUCGUGCAGCUAGCUAUUGUGACCUUAAGUUCACUGAACCCGCAUUCUUGACACAUCAGCUAAACAGCUGAAUGACUGAACCUGUAGCCUAUAGGUGCUGGCUUGAGAAAUCAAGCGCCCUAAAGGCCGUCUAGUGCAACUACUACUGAUCUUUUAUGCUAGCUAUAGAGGAAUACUGGUGUAACUCUCAAUGUCAUACUAAUUUCGUCCCUCGACUCUGACAAAAAAAAGGGAAAAUUUGGGAAUUAAAUUCACACAAUUAAAUUUGAGAAAUCUCAUCUUUAUUCUCUACUUCUGUAGCUAAAUUUUGUUUCGAGGGAGCUGAUUUCUUUCCAGAUGAAAAUUAGGAACAAUAAGGGUUUCGAGCCAUACAUUUAACAGCCAGUGCUGGUGGCAAUCCUGUCUAACCAAGUUCAUUCUUAACUGCUUCUGCUACGGGUUGGUGAGUUGGUGUAUGCUGAAACUUACACAUAUUUUUUCAUUUUUUGAACCUAAAAUCAAAUCUGCAUUCUUGCUGUAUGACUGAAUCCAUGCGUGCUGGCUUCAGAAAUUAAGCUUGCCAAGUCCAUAAUUGUGCAACUGCUACUGCUACUGCUUGAUCUAUAUAUGCUAGCUAUACAUAGAGGAAUAGCGUUGCGCCUCUCAAGGCAAACUAAUUUUGGUGCCUCGACAAAAUGGUCUUGACAAAGAAAAUUAAGAAAUUCACACAAUUCAAGUACUUGUUCAACCUGCAAAGUUUGCAAAGUCUGAACUUUGCUCUAUACUUCUGCAGUCACAUAUUCUUUCAGCACUGACCUCUUUCCAAAUGAAAUAUUAGCUGGGGACAGUAAAGGUCUUGAGCACUUGAGUACCCAGUGCUGGUAACAACCCUGUUUCACUCUGCUUUCGCUCUGGAACUGACAGAUAACGUCCCAUUUCCAGAACCUAAAAUUAAAUCAUCUACUCCUUUCAGUUGUUGAGUCUACCUCAGUUCAUUCUUAGUAGUAAAGUUCUUGAUAGCCGGUGCUGGUGGCAACCCUGCCCAUCUCACUUCAUUCUGGACUGCUUUUGCUAUGGGUUUGUCUAUGCUGAAACUGAUACAAAAUUUCCCAUUUCUAGAUCCUAAAAUCAGAUCUGUUUCUUCUUUUUCAAUCACUGAUUCUCAGUUCUGCAGUAAUACUUGUUCAUCUGAUAUUAUGCGUGCGUGUGUAUGUGCAGAGCAUGAGAUGGCCAAAGUUGUUCUGGAUCUCAGUGUGUGCUCCCUUGGCGUCCGUCAUCGUAUCCACCCUGCUCGUCUUCCUGUUCAAAGCGCAGAACCAUGCCAUCAGCAUCGUAGGAGAACAACAAAGACUGAGCUUCCGCCGCAGAUUAGGUCACUUAAAUGUGGCUUGAAUUGCCCCUCGUGGGACAAACUGCUCUUCGAUCUGACAUAUCUUGGACUUGCCAUGAAGACCGGCCUCGCCUCGUCACCGGAAUCAUCUCCCCUACAGUAUGCUAUAUAUGACCUCACACCAUAGUGAAACAAUACCCUACGCUUCAAAUUAUAUUUGAGUAGGUGCCACUGAUAAUCUGAUGCGUGCCCUGAAUUUCACUCUGACAGGAAGGAGUAGCAGUCGGUAUUUGCUUCAAUCAAGGACUACCAGGUGGAUGGCAACAAAGAGAUGAUGGCCACUGGGUUGAUGAGCAUUGUGGGCUCAUCUCCAGGAGAGGUGCGUCGAUGACCCGUCGAUAUUCAGUUGCUGAAGAAGGAAAGAUGGUGGCGAGUAGCAAGACGAAAUCAUUCACGGCUUAGUUAGUUUGUCAUGGUGUCAGAAUAGCUGAGUUGCUGUCGUGUUCAAUUUUUGUUGUGGAACAUAUCUCUCGCAGUUGGUAGUCUUGACUUUUUGUUCAUCACAAUCCUUAUUCGUCCAUUGCCAUAUAACUCUUUUAUACUGUUAUGCUGCUGGAAAUUUUAGCCAGAAAAUGGCCCAGACUUGAGUGUGUUCAUAUUGCAAUGGUAUUACUCAAAAGGGAAUAAAAUACUUGAGUGUGUUCAUAUUGCAAUGGUAUUACUCAAAAAGAGAACGAGACUAAUUAAAACUUCUCGUUAACUUACUAAUGAGCUUAAAUUGUUGACCGUGGUGAGAAAGAUAAAUUAUCCACACCACAUAUUUUCAUCGAGUGCAGAUACAAAUGAAGAAUGUGCACUUCCAGAAUCCACUAGUAACACCAUUACUCUGUUCUGUAACUGCACUUCUAACUGCAUUCGAAUCCCUACCCUACAGCAGCCACUGAUAUUUGCAUUUGAUGGAAUGAAGCUGUUAUACUUUCACUGACAGAAUUUUCAGACUCUAGCACUGGUUCUGACUGCAUAUAAUAGAUCAACUCUUGAACAUGAUGCAACUGCACUGAAGUUUUGCACACAUGACCCCGAACCCAUCUCUCUC